CAUUCUACUUUGGGGUUUGAAAUAAUCUCUUUUUAAGUUUGCAUUUAUUGUUUUGAAAAUGUUGUAUUUGAAUGUAGCUUGGAACACAACCUCCCUGAUAGUCCCUUUGCAUCUCCUAAAGCUGCUGUGGACUACUUGACAGCCUUCUCCAGCACAGCUGGUGAGGCGGAAAAGAAUGCCGCAGUUUUGGCAGCAUCUGCUAACAAUAACUUGAUCACUUCAUCCUUGCUUCCUGCCACUUCUACAUUAGACAUGGCUUCUUUGAAAUCAUGUUACUUUCAAGCAACAAGGUUCUCUUCUGGUCAUGGAGCCAUUGGAAUGUAGCUUGGUGCUGUUUUUUUUCAAUUUUUUUAAGCUUUUUUGGCUCAUGGGAAGUUUGAUAAGAAUCAGAAACACCAAGAUACAUGUCAGAGAAAUCACCACCACCACUAGCAUCACCUCUCACCACCAUGGAUGCUAUUAUACAACUUAUUUUACUAAGAUACAAAUGCAUACGUAAAAAGUCAGAAGUGGGUCAGCCAUUUCUGUCUUCGUUGUACUAUUUCCCACAUCUAAGUCGAGUGUCAUAUCUGUAGUUGAAGUUGGACCACAGGUUAAAAUAGUCACAGAAAAUCAAGCAAUCAAUGUGUAGUAGUAGUUGGAGUAAAUUCUUGGGGGACUGUAAUUUUCUUUAGCUUUUCUCACCAGUUAUGGGCUUUUCCCAGUAUAAAUAUCAGAAGUCCCAAGUGUAGUUUGUUAGUGUAUGAUGUUAGGAAGACAAUUAAUGUACAGCAGAACCAGAAACAACAAUGUCAACAAAGAAGCCAAAGCUGUGUAACUAACUACAAGGCUGAUUGGAAAGAAGGUAAAAAGUCAGCUCAAUUUGGUAGUUUCAGGUAUAAAAACAAGAAAAAAGAAAAGAAAUGGUAUUUUUUACCAUAACUUGUUUGCUGUAAUUGUUCUGUAAUACACAGUAUGAACCUUUAGAUUU
Molecule: non-coding RNA, 970 nt
Organism: Camellia sinensis
Lineage: Eukaryota; Viridiplantae; Streptophyta; Magnoliopsida; Ericales; Theaceae
Source: RefSeq, a predicted model, not a curated record